RNAcentral lists this microRNA precursor (310 nucleotides) under Amborella trichopoda. Its description in RNAcentral is "miR8587 stem-loop (atr-MIR8587)". The record is from miRBase by way of RNAcentral. Lineage: Eukaryota; Viridiplantae; Streptophyta; Magnoliopsida; Amborellales; Amborellaceae.
AAAAAAAAAGCAUUUUGGCAGUUUGAAAGUCCAACUUUUGAACUGCCCAAAAUACAAAAAACUAAUUUGUUUGUGUAGUUUGAAAAUCCAAUCUUUCGAAUAUUCCAAAACACAUACAAAAAUAAAAAAAGAAAACGUCAAGUGUUUGGCCGUUCGAAAGUUGGACUUUUGAACUGCCCAAAUACUUUUUUUUCUUUUUGUGUUUUGGAUGGUUCGAAAGUUGGACUUUUGAACCGCCCAAACACAUUUUUUUUUUGUAUUUUGGGCGGUUUCAAAGUUGGUCUUUUGAAACCCCAAAUGCUUAAUUUUU